Molecule: ribosomal RNA, 428 nt
Filed under: uncultured bacterium
Lineage: Bacteria
Description: bacterial SSU rRNA
Rfam family: Bacterial small subunit ribosomal RNA
Source: RNAcentral
AAUGAACGCUGGCGGCGCGCCUAAUACAUGCAAGUCGAGCGAGAAGACGUAGCAAUACGUUUGUAAAGCGGCGAACGGGUGAGGAAUACAUGGGUAACCUACCCUCGAGUGGGGAAUAACUAGCCGAAAGGUUAGCUAAUACCGCGUACGCUUCUUGGACUUCGGUUCAGGGAGGAAAGCGAUGCCGAGGGUAUCGCGCUCUUGGAUGGGCUCAUGUCCUAUCAGCUGUUGGUGAGGUAACGGCUCACCAAGGCUUCGACGGGUAGCUGGUCUGAGAGGACGAUCAGCCACACUGGCACUGCGACACGGGCCAGACUCCUACGGGAGGCAGCAGUAAGGAAUAUUGCGCAAUGGGCGAAAGCCUGACGCAGCGACGCCGCGUGGGGGAUGAAGGUCUUCGGAUUGUAAACCCCUUUCGGGAGGGAAGA